UACAGAGGUCCCAAGCGUUGUUCGGAUUUACUGGGCGUAAAGGGUGCGUAGGUGGUCGGGUAAGUCUGAUGUGAAAUCUCGGAGCUCAACUCCGAAACGGCAUUGGAUACUAUUCGGCUUGAGGAUUGGAAGGGGGACUGGAAUUCUCGGUGUAGCAGUGAAAUGCGUAGAUAUCGAGAGGAACACCAGUGGCGAAGGCGAGUCCCUGGACAACUCCUGACACUGAGGCACGAAAGCUAGGGGAG
Molecule: ribosomal RNA, 245 nt
Filed under: uncultured bacterium
Lineage: Bacteria
Description: partial 16S ribosomal RNA
Rfam family: Bacterial small subunit ribosomal RNA
Source: RNAcentral